RNAcentral lists this ribosomal RNA (298 nucleotides) under Escherichia coli. RNAcentral's name for it is "partial 16S ribosomal RNA". It matches the Rfam family "Bacterial small subunit ribosomal RNA", at positions 1 to 295 of the family's 1533-position model. Lineage: Bacteria; Pseudomonadati; Pseudomonadota; Gammaproteobacteria; Enterobacterales; Enterobacteriaceae. RNAcentral also lists the same sequence under 1 other name. The record is from RNAcentral.
AAAUUGAAGAGUUUGAUCAUGGCUCAGAUUGAACGCUGGCGGCAGGCCUAACACAUGCAAGUCGAACGGUAACAGGAAGCAGCUUGCUGCUUCGCUGACGAGUGGCGGACGGGUGAGUAAUGUCUGGGAAACUGCCUGAUGGAGGGGGAUAACUACUGGAAACGGUAGCUAAUACCGCAUAAUGUCGCAAGACCAAAGAGGGGGACCUUCGGGCCUCUUGCCAUCGGAUGUGCCCAGAUGGGAUUAGCUUGUUGGUGGGGUAACGGCUCACCAAGGCGACGAUCCCUAGCUGGUCUGA